AGAGUUUGAUCCUGGCUCAGGAUGAACGCUAGCGGGAGGCCUAACACAUGCAAGUCGAACGGGAUUGAGAGCUUGCUCUCAUGAGAGUGGCGCACGGGUGAGUAACGCGUAUGCAACCUACCUAUAACUGAGGGAUAGCCCAUAGAAAUGUGGAUUAAUACCUCAUAGUUCUUUUGUUCCGCAUGGGAUGAAAGAUAAAGCUCCGGCGGUUAUAGAUGGGCAUGCGUGACAUUAGCUAGUUGGUAAGGUAACGGCUUACCAAGGCUACGAUGUCUAGGGGUUCUGAGAGGAUGAUCCCCCACACUGGUACUGAGACACGGACCAGACUCCUACGGGAGGCAGCUGUGAGGGAUUUUGGUCAAUGGGCGCAAGCCUGAACCAGCCAUCCCGCGUGCAGGAUGAAGGCCCUAUGGGUCG
RNAcentral lists this ribosomal RNA (417 nucleotides) under uncultured bacterium. Its description in RNAcentral is "bacterial SSU rRNA". It matches the Rfam family "Bacterial small subunit ribosomal RNA", at positions 8 to 425 of the family's 1533-position model. The record is from RNAcentral.